Cyprinodon variegatus (sheepshead minnow) is the source of this 242-nucleotide long non-coding RNA. RefSeq lists it as uncharacterized. The annotation marks the transcript as partial. Lineage: Eukaryota; Metazoa; Chordata; Actinopteri; Cyprinodontiformes; Cyprinodontidae. The transcript is spliced from 3 exons. The record is from RefSeq and is a predicted model, not a curated record.
ACCUAAGGUCUUGUUUUCCCUGUGUUGACUAGAAGCCCAACCUGAUCUUGAAUGUGGAUGGUUUCAUUGGUGUGGCCUUUGUGGACUUGCUCAGAACUUGUGGAGGAUUUACGAGAGAUGAAGCUGAUGAAUUUGUUGAAAUUGGUGCCCUUAAUGGCAUCUUUGUCUUGGGACGCAGCAUGGGAUUCAUUGGACACUACCUCGAUCAGAAGAGGCUGAAGCAGGGACUGUAUCGCCACCCC